GACGCACGCUGGCGGCGUGCUUAACACAUGCAAGUCGAACGGAGUGGCGAACGGGUGAGUAACACGUGGGUGAUCUGCCUUGCACUUCGGGAUAAGCUUGGGUAACUGGGUCUAAUACCGGAUAGUGCAAGAUGAGCUCGCGGCCUAUCAGCUUGUUGGUGGGGUAAUGGCCUACCAAGGCGUCGACGGGUAGCCGGCCUGAGAGGGUGUACGGCCACAGUGGGACUGAGAUGCGGACCAGACUGCUACGGGAGGCAGCAGUGGGGAAUAAUGCACAAUGGGCGGAAGGCUGAUGCAGAGACGCCGCGUGGGGGAUGAAGGCCGUCGGGUUGUAAACUCCUGUCGACAGGGACGCGGUACCUGUAUAAGAAGCACCGGCUAACUACGUGCCAGCAGCCGCGGUAAUAC
This 408-nucleotide ribosomal RNA is filed under the name uncultured bacterium. Its description in RNAcentral is "partial 16S ribosomal RNA". It matches the Rfam family "Bacterial small subunit ribosomal RNA", at positions 28 to 526 of the family's 1533-position model. The record is from RNAcentral.